UACGUAGGGGGCAAGCGUUGUCCGGAUUUAUUGGACGUAAAGAGCGUGUAGGCGGCCAGAUAGGUCAGCUGUGAAAACUCGAGGCUCAACCUCGAGAUGUCGGCUGAAACCAUCUGGCUAGAGUCCGGAAGAGGAGAAUGGAAUUCCCGGUGUAGCGGUGAAAUGCGCAGAUAUCGGGAAGAACACCCGUGGCGAAGGCGGUUCUCUGGGACGGUACUGACGCUGAGACGCGAAAGCGUGGGGAGCGAACAGG
RNAcentral lists this ribosomal RNA (253 nucleotides) under uncultured bacterium. Its description in RNAcentral is "partial 16S ribosomal RNA". It matches the Rfam family "Bacterial small subunit ribosomal RNA", at positions 524 to 776 of the family's 1533-position model. The record is from RNAcentral.